This 492-nucleotide ribosomal RNA is filed under the name uncultured bacterium. Its description in RNAcentral is "partial 16S ribosomal RNA". It matches the Rfam family "Bacterial small subunit ribosomal RNA", at positions 29 to 507 of the family's 1533-position model. The record is from RNAcentral.
AGUGAACGCUGGCGGUAGGCCUAACACAUGCAAGUCGAACGGCAGCACAGUAAGAGCUUGCUCUUACGGGUGGCGAGUGGCGGACGGGUGAGGAGUACAUCGGAAUCUACUUUUUCGUGGGGGAUAACGUAGGGAAACUUACGCUAAUACCGCAUACGACCUACGGGUGAAAGCAGGGGAUCUUCGGACCUUGCGCGAUUGAAUGAGCCGAUGUCGGAUUAGCUAGUUGGCGGGGUAAGGGCCCACCAAGGCGACGAUCCGUAGCUGGUCUGAGAGGAUGAUCAGCCACACUGGAACUGAGACACGGUCCAGACUCCUACGGGAGGCAGCAGUGGGGAAUAUUCGACAAUGGGCGCAAGCCUGAUCCAGCCAUACCGCGUGGGCGAAGAAGGCCUUCGGGUUGUAAAGCCCUUUUGUUGGGAAAGAAAAGCAGCAGGUUAAUACCCCGCUGUUCUGACGGUACCCAAAGAAUAAGCACCGGCUAACUUCGUG